UCUCAUUACUUAAAGAGUAACUCAACAAUGUGUGCAGGGCUUUUCAAUUAUCCUCAACCAGCAGUUCAUAUCGCAUAUCAUAUUACCCUCUGUCCGCUUUACUUGGAAAUGUCCAGUGUAGCGUGCAUGAUGUCGAUCACACAGCCCACAAUAAUAACAAGAUUUGUAGACACAUGCCAAUGUUUGCAAAUAACAUGCCAACAACAAGCGGCAAUCGCAGCACGCAAGUUGACAACAUUGAACUUCAAUUCUAAGCCAACAGCAACAACAAUUUUAUUGUAAACAAUGUGACCAAUACACACCCACAUACAUAAUAAAUCAUGUGCAACUGGCUUUCGGCGACACCCAGUUGCAUAAUGCAGUUGACUUGCAGCUGAGUGGUAAUAAUUCAAAGUGCACACACCGAUUCGAUAUUCAAUUAAAGGUUGUGGUUUUGUAUUUCGGUGACAAUGAUUUUGUAUAAAAACUCAAGCGCACUUUGGAAAAAUUAUCAAACAGUCUUUACUUUCAUAAUAAAUUACAAGUGUUCGCUUGCGCAACAAACUCAAACGCAAAAAUGUUCAACCUUUACAAAGUGCUCAUCGUCUUCGCCGCCUUGGUGUGCAUUGCUGCUGCCUACCCAAGCAUCAUAGGACCAGCCAUCGUCCCCGCUCUUGGCCCAAGAGUCGUUGUCGGACCAGUCGGCGCUGUCGGCCCAGUUUUGGUGCCCGGUUUGGGUCAUGGUGCUCUUCUUGGUCAUGGUGGUGUUGUUCUUGGUUAAACCAUAACUAGUAGUUGGACUGCCAAUAUUCUCCACUGAACAGUUGCACAAUCUACACCCGCUUACCGUUAUUUUUUUCACCCAACUCAUCCAGAAGUGUUCGUUGCAUUGCUGCGCUUUCCUCUAUCAACAAUAAAUAAUUUUUUGUAAAUCGUAUAUUUUUCUUUUAGUUUGCUUAAUUUGAAUAAAUAUGCAAUAAACCAAAAUCAA
This is a long non-coding RNA of Bactrocera dorsalis (oriental fruit fly), 970 nucleotides long. RefSeq lists it as uncharacterized. Lineage: Eukaryota; Metazoa; Arthropoda; Insecta; Diptera; Tephritidae. The transcript is spliced from 2 exons. The record is from RefSeq and is a predicted model, not a curated record.